Molecule: ribosomal RNA, 43 nt
Filed under: Pleosporales sp.
Lineage: Eukaryota; Fungi; Ascomycota; Dothideomycetes; Pleosporales
Description: partial 28S ribosomal RNA
Source: RNAcentral
GCUUGACCUCGGAUCAGGUAGGGAUACCCGCUGAACUUAAGCA